GGGCUAUGUCUCUGGGCUGAUAAAUAAUUCCUUACAUGCGAUCAAAACGUUUUAUACAAAGAUAUAAAACGGUAAUCUAUAUGUGAUGGAUCAGCAUGCAUGCAUUGAAAUUUCCAACACGGUUUCCGAGACGUAAUUCAAGAGAUAACUUAUCAUUGCAUUUGAACUAUUGCAUCAGUUGGUGUCAUACUGUGCGAUAAGCGAAUAUUAUUGGAAAGAGGGCUUCUAUAUACGUCGAAAUCACCACGUAUACAGCUCAUGCACACAUUUCUCCACUUCGUGGUAAGUUUACAGAGCAUAUUUUAUACUUUGGGACUGAUCUUUGUCUUUGAUGCGAACAUUUAUCUUAUGUUUAAGGUUAUUUAAGAUUGAUCCUGUCGUAAGUCUUCUACCUGCAACAAUUCGACAAUAUUUUAUUUUAACGCUGUCUUUGCCGUUACGUUUAGAAAGCGUUAUAUGUACUUUCUCAAAAUUGUAUAGACAAGAUAUGUUGUUUAUGUCCGACACGUAUAAGAUUGCAUAACUCAAAAUGAUUCGAGUAAAACCGAUCUUUUUUAAAAAGAAAGAAUGGUUAAUAGGAAUUGGUCCUUUUGAGUGACAUAAUCGUG
Paramuricea clavata is the source of this 608-nucleotide non-coding RNA. The record is from the annotation of a GenBank genome assembly. NCBI's taxonomy places the organism in Eukaryota, Metazoa, Cnidaria, Anthozoa, Malacalcyonacea, Plexauridae.